UGGCAGCACAUCUCUGGGUCAGG
Molecule: unclassified non-coding RNA, 23 nt
Filed under: Mus musculus (house mouse)
Lineage: Eukaryota; Metazoa; Chordata; Mammalia; Rodentia; Muridae
Description: oocyte_clustered_small_RNA8626
Source: RNAcentral